Molecule: ribosomal RNA, 1371 nt
Filed under: Pseudomonas aeruginosa
Lineage: Bacteria; Pseudomonadati; Pseudomonadota; Gammaproteobacteria; Pseudomonadales; Pseudomonadaceae
Description: bacterial LSU rRNA
Rfam family: Bacterial large subunit ribosomal RNA
Source: RNAcentral
GUCUUUUAGAUGACGAAGUGGUUGAUGCCAUGCUUCCAAGAAAAGCUUCUAAGCUUCAGGUAACCAGGAACCGUACCCCAAACCGACACAGGUGGUCGGGUAGAGAAUACCAAGGCGCUUGAGAGAACUCGGGUGAAGGAACUAGGCAAAAUGGCACCGUAACUUCGGGAGAAGGUGCGCCGGCUAGGGUGAAGGAUUUACUCCGUAAGCUCUGGCUGGUCGAAGAUACCAGGCCGCUGCGACUGUUUAUUAAAAACACAGCACUCUGCAAACACGAAAGUGGACGUAUAGGGUGUGACGCCUGCCCGGUGCCGGAAGGUUAAUUGAUGGGGUUAGCGCAAGCGAAGCUCUUGAUCGAAGCCCCGGUAAACGGCGGCCGUAACUAUAACGGUCCUAAGGUAGCGAAAUUCCUUGUCGGGUAAGUUCCGACCUGCACGAAUGGCGUAACGAUGGCGGCGCUGUCUCCACCCGAGACUCAGUGAAAUUGAAAUCGCUGUGAAGAUGCAGUGUAUCCGCGGCUAGACGGAAAGACCCCGUGAACCUUUACUGUAGCUUUGCACUGGACUUUGAGCCUGCUUGUGUAGGAUAGGUGGGAGGCUUUGAAGCGUGGACGCCAGUUCGCGUGGAGCCAUCCUUGAAAUACCACCCUGGCAUGCUUGAGGUUCUAACUCUGGUCCGUGAUCCGGAUCGAGGACAGUGUAUGGUGGGCAGUUUGACUGGGGCGGUCUCCUCCUAAAGAGUAACGGAGGAGUACGAAGGUGCGCUCAGACCGGUCGGAAAUCGGUCGCAGAGUAUAAAGGCAAAAGCGCGCUUGACUGCGAGACAGACACGUCGAGCAGGUACGAAAGUAGGUCUUAGUGAUCCGGUGGUUCUGUAUGGAAGGGCCAUCGCUCAACGGAUAAAAGGUACUCCGGGGAUAACAGGCUGAUACCGCCCAAGAGUUCAUAUCGACGGCGGUGUUUGGCACCUCGAUGUCGGCUCAUCACAUCCUGGGGCUGAAGCCGGUCCCAAGGGUAUGGCUGUUCGCCAUUUAAAGUGGUACGCGAGCUGGGUUUAGAACGUCGUGAGACAGUUCGGUCCCUAUCUGCCGUGGACGUUUGAGAUUUGAGAGGGGCUGCUCCUAGUACGAGAGGACCGGAGUGGACGAACCUCUGGUGUUCCGGUUGUCACGCCAGUGGCAUUGCCGGGUAGCUAUGUUCGGAAAAGAUAACCGCUGAAAGCAUCUAAGCGGGAAACUUGCCUCAAGAUGAGAUCUCACUGGGAACUUGAUUCCCCUGAAGGGCCGUCGAAGACUACGACGUUGAUAGGCUGGGUGUGUAAGCGUUGUGAGGCGUUGAGCUAACCAGUACUAAUUGCCCGUGAGGCUUGACC